UCACCUCAUUUUCCACACCGGAAAAACUUGCACCCAAUGUAUUGCGACAAGAAAGUUAGACUACAACAAUUGUUCACUUAAAAAUCAGAGUCUCUGCCUAAAAAGGGUAUCCAUUCAUUGAAUCUACGAGUGAUAUUGAAGACUUUGAUGAUGCCAUGAGACAAAAAGAUGUGGAGAGAAUGAUCUGAAGGAGGAGUCAUCUGGGGAUGCUGUUCUUACCGCCAAGAACGACAGAGUAGUAGGAUGGAGCAAUUUCUGGGAUGUUCUGGGCUUCAUGGAGGGAAAGAAGCAUGAGGAUCUCUUUUUUUCGAGAAAUAGGUAGGCAACAGCCACCUAAUUUUAUUGAAAAAACGUUUUACAAGCAUGAGGAUCUCUUUCAAGCUUUUGUGAUUCAUGCGACUUGUUAAAGGUACUCCAGAGGCUCAAGUUCAAUGUAAGGUAAUGUCUUGGGUGAAUGUUCUAUGCACAAAACGGAAGGCCAACUGGAGGUUUCUCUGUUUCGGAAUUCGGAUCAAAUGGAGUUCGGAUCAAUGGGAUGAUUCAGUUAUAUGAACCUCUGUUUCUUGAUGUAGAGGAGUAGCGUGGACCUGGCCAGGUUUCUUCUAAGCAAUUCAUCAGAAAAAAGAAAAAAAGGAAAGAAAGUUUUCUUCUAAGUAGUUGAAGUCCCUGCAGUGUGUUGGUUGGGUUAUCCAUCAUUUCUCUUUUCAUGGUAUAUAGAAUCAUUCAAUUUUUCUUUUUC
This is a long non-coding RNA of Elaeis guineensis (African oil palm), 739 nucleotides long. RefSeq lists it as uncharacterized. The record is from RefSeq and is a predicted model, not a curated record. NCBI's taxonomy places the organism in Eukaryota, Viridiplantae, Streptophyta, Magnoliopsida, Arecales, Arecaceae.